CCUACGGGAGGCAGCAGUGAGGAAUAUUGGUCAAUGGACGAGAGUCUGAACCAGCCAAGUGGCGUGAAGGAUGACUGCCCUAUGGGUUGUAAACUUCUUUUAUAUGGGAAUAAAAUGUUCCACGUGUGGGAUUUUGUAUGUACCAUAUGAAUAAGGAUCGGCUAACUCCGUGCCAGCAGCCGCGGUAAUACGGAGGAUCCGAGCGUUAUCCGGAUUUAUUGGGUUUAAAGGGAGAGUAGGUGGAUUGUUAAGUCAGUUGUGAAAGUUUGCGGCUCAACCGUAAAAUUGCAGUUGAAACUGGCAGUCUUGAGUACAGUAGAGGUGGGCGGAAUUCGUGGUGUAGCGGUGAAAUGCUUAGAUAUCACGAAGAACUCCGAUUGCGAAGGCAGUUCACUGGACUGCAACUGACACUGAGGCUCGAAAGUGUGGGUAUCAAACAGGAUUAGAUACCCCAGUAGUC
RNAcentral lists this ribosomal RNA (460 nucleotides) under uncultured bacterium. RNAcentral's name for it is "partial 16S ribosomal RNA". It matches the Rfam family "Bacterial small subunit ribosomal RNA", at positions 338 to 795 of the family's 1533-position model. The record is from RNAcentral.